GCUCCGCUACCCGGAGCCCCGUAGUUCCAGGCCAACAGCGAUUAGCAAAGCUAUAAGGGUCCAUAAGUAUAUGAUAUGUGUGUCUCGGUAACAGUAACGGGGCUAAGUCAGACUGUUUCAAUACAACAAUAUUAAAACGAGCUAAUGGCGCUACUCGACUCUUGUAUGUAAAACAUUAGGCCGCGAUCUAAGCCAACAGCGGUGACUUUGCUUUUUCUAUAAAGAAACAUUAACCGGAGCGAAAAGCUAACUGUGCUAACAUCCGCACACCUUUGACAAAAGUGAGAUUAAAGGGUUCCUGUGCUGAGAGUGACCAUCAUCCUUGAUCCAUUGCCCUCAACCUUCACAGAGCAGUAUCACCACACAUCACCUACACACACACAAUCACCACAUCUUCGUUUUCUCAAAUUUCAUUCUACAUAUAAGAUUAUAUUAGGUUGUCUUAGAUUAGUUUAGUUUACAUUAGGUGGUUUAGGUCAGUUUGACAAGCAUUUCUCUUGUUGUUUUCUCUUGUUUUUAACUUCUAUCAGCAGGAUGCCAAGGAAGUCGAGGCGGUCUGUGGUGUUGAAGCAGCGCUGGAGGAAGCUCAACCUGGAGGAGCUGAGGUCUUCCCCCACCCCCCCAGAGACGGUGUCCCCCUCGGCUGGAGAGGAGCCUUCCAGAGGGUCAAGGACCAAGAGGACCAGGGAGACCCACCCCCCCUGCUCCUGAGCUCCAGUCGGCAACACAGUUGGAUCUUCACCCCCAGCCAAGCCUUUCUGGAGCCCGGAUGAUGUGCAAGUUCGUGCACAUAAGUAUCUACUUGUUUUAUCCCUAAAUGAUCAAUAAAUUAAUUCAUCAUCAAUACUGAACUUUUUCAACAGGUUUUCCUGUACUUUUUUACUGGUAUAAACAAGUGAUUGUUGAUAUUUCC
Molecule: long non-coding RNA, 913 nt
Organism: Acanthopagrus latus (yellowfin seabream)
Lineage: Eukaryota; Metazoa; Chordata; Actinopteri; Spariformes; Sparidae
Exons: 4
Source: RefSeq, a predicted model, not a curated record